RNAcentral lists this ribosomal RNA (620 nucleotides) under uncultured marine eukaryote. RNAcentral describes it as "SSU rRNA". It matches the Rfam family "Eukaryotic small subunit ribosomal RNA", at positions 1 to 633 of the family's 1831-position model. The record is from RNAcentral.
AACCUGGUUGAUCCUGCCAGUAGUCAUAUGCUUGUCUCAAAGACUAAGCCAUGCAUGUCUAAGUAUAAAUGGUAUACAGUAAAACUGCGAAUGGCUCAUUAAAACAGUUAUAGUUUAUUUGGUAAUCGAAUUUACAUGGAUAACCGUGGUAAUUCUAGAGCUAAUACAUGCUGUAAAGCCCGACUUCUCGGAAGGGCCGUGUUUAUUAGAUAACAGACCAACAGCUUCGGCUAUUGUGGUGAAUCAUAGUAACUAAUCGGAUCGCAUGGGCUAGUCCCGCGACAAACCAUUCAAGUUUCUGCCCCAUCAGCUUUCGACGGUAGUGUAUUGGACUACCGUGGCUUUUACGGGUAACGGAGGAUUAGGGUUCGAUUCCGGAGAGGGAGCCUGAGAAACGGCUACCACAUCUAAGGAAGGCAGCAGGCGCGUAAAUUACCCAAUUCUGAUUCAGAGAGGUAGUGACAAGAAAUAACGGGUCGGGACUUUGUCCCGGGACUGCAAUGAGAUGAACUUAUACCCCUUUUCGAGUAACAAUUGGAGGGCAAGUCUGGUGCCAGCAGCCGCGGUAAUUCCAGCUCCAAUAGCGUAUAUUAAAGUUGUUGCAGUUAAAAAGCUCGUAG